CCCCAGCCUGGCGCGCGCGGUAAAGGCUCAUCCAGCAAACGCAGGAAGAAGUAGUUUUCCCAGGCUGUGGAACGGUUUAGGAGGCCGUGUUCCAUAAGAACUCCACGCUCUCCCCGGCAUACGCCCUGGGGUCCCAGCUUAGCUGCAAAGUAAAAGAUGUGCACCAGGAGCAGAGUAGGAGCCAGGCACAAGAAGCAUCAGUUUGGGAGAGGAAGGCCAAAUGAGUCCAAGGAACGUCCUGUACUUCCCACUUGGAGAGAAGGGGGACCAGAAGCACCCCCUGGGGCACGAGCCAGGUCAGCUGCUGUCACUGGAGAGACAUGGCUGGGCAGCUGGCGUCACAGGCUGAGGCCCACCCACACUGAGGAGGGGGCAAUCUGCUUUAUCCAUUCCACGUACCCAAACGUGAAUCUCUGCGGAAACACCCUCGCGGACACACUCAGAAAUACCGUUUACCCAGCGCCUGGAUGCCCUGGGAUCCAGCAAGUUGAUGCGUAAAGUUAAGCACCACACGCAGUACGCCUGACCGCUCGGCUAAUGUGGCGGCGCCUCCGUCCUCAACGUGUUGGAAACAACGUCGGCUUGCAAAGCUUAACUCACUCUCACCUCCGAUCUUUCCAAGAAUACUCCUUAACAUUGUGUACAA
Long non-coding RNA from Puma concolor (puma), 646 nucleotides. RefSeq lists it as uncharacterized. The record is from RefSeq and is a predicted model, not a curated record. Lineage: Eukaryota; Metazoa; Chordata; Mammalia; Carnivora; Felidae.